This 744-nucleotide ribosomal RNA is filed under the name Pisidium ellisi. RNAcentral's name for it is "eukaryotic LSU rRNA". It matches the Rfam family "Eukaryotic large subunit ribosomal RNA", at positions 402 to 961 of the family's 3401-position model. Lineage: Eukaryota; Metazoa; Mollusca; Bivalvia; Venerida; Sphaeriidae. RNAcentral also lists the same sequence under 1 other name. The record is from RNAcentral.
AAACCGCAAAGAGGUAAACGGGUGGAUCCGCGAGGUCGGCCCGGGGAAUUCAGCCCAGCACGCUGGGGCGGCUUGGAGGUGGUGAUCCGUCCAGGACUCCACGUUCUCGCGUCUCGGCUUCCAGCGAGCAGGGUGCACUUUCUCUGGGUUGAGUGCCAUGACCGGUUCCGCGCUAGUCAGGAGCCCGGCGGCAAGGUGACUGUAACAGGUGUUAUAGGCCGCCGAGGUGGACACGCUGCGGGACCGAGGAUGCUUGCCGCAUUCCACGGCUUCGGGUCGUACGGGCGCGUUCAACGUUGGCGUCACUUUUCGCAAGUGCGUCGAGACCGCGCGCCCUGUCACGGGCCCGUCUGUCGGGAGUGCCUCGUGUCGGUGGCCAAACGGUCGGUCCUCCACCCGACCCGUCUUGAAACACGGACCAAGGAGUCUAACAUGUGCGCGAGUCAAGGGGUCUAACGAAACCCAAAGGCGCAAUGAAAGUGAAGGCCGCCUCCGGUUGGCCUAGGCGGGAUCCCGUCCCGUUCGCGGGGCGGGCGCACUGCCGGCCCGUCUCGGUUGCAUCGUCAACGAGGCGGAGCAAGAGCGCACACGUUGGGACCCGAAAGAUGGUGAACUAUGCCUGAGUAGGACGAAGUCAGAGGAAACUCUGAUGGAGGUCCGUAGCGAUUCUGACGUGCAAAUCGAUCGUCAAACUUGGGUAUAGGGGCGAAAGACUAAUCGAACCAUCUAGUAGCUGGUUCCCUC